GUGGCUGGGGCUCAAUGGUAGAGCGCUUGCCUUGCAUGCAUGAGGCACUGGGUUGGAUCCUCAGAACCACA
Molecule: transfer RNA, 71 nt
Filed under: Marmota monax (woodchuck)
Lineage: Eukaryota; Metazoa; Chordata; Mammalia; Rodentia; Sciuridae
Rfam family: tRNA
About the family: Transfer RNA (tRNA) molecules are approximately 80 nucleotides in length.
Source: Rfam by way of RNAcentral